GAGUUUGAUCGUGGCUCAGAUUGAACGCUGGCGGCAUGCCUUACACAUGCAAGUCGAACGGCAGCAUGAUCUAGCUUGCUAGAUUGAUGGCGAGUGGCGAACGGGUGAGUAAUACAUCGGAACGUGCCCUGUAGUGGGGAUAACUAGUCGAAAGAUUAGCUAAUACCGCAUACGACCUGAGGGUGAAAGUGGGGGACCGCAAGGCCUCAUGCUAUAGGAGCGGCCGAUGUCUGAUUAGCUAGUUGGUGGGGUAAAGGCCCACCUAGGCGACGAUCAGUAGCUGGUCUGAGAGGACGAUCAGCCACACUGGGACUGAGACACGGCCCAGACUCCUACGGGAGGCAGCAGUGGGGAUUUUGGACAAUGGGCGAAAGCCUGAUCCAGCAAUGCCGCCGUGUGUGAAGAAGGCC
This 410-nucleotide ribosomal RNA is filed under the name uncultured microorganism. RNAcentral's name for it is "bacterial SSU rRNA". It matches the Rfam family "Bacterial small subunit ribosomal RNA", at positions 9 to 416 of the family's 1533-position model. The record is from RNAcentral.